Molecule: long non-coding RNA, 3962 nt
Organism: Pezoporus flaviventris
Lineage: Eukaryota; Metazoa; Chordata; Aves; Psittaciformes; Psittacidae
Exons: 5
Source: RefSeq, a predicted model, not a curated record
UUCUCCAUGGGCAUUCUGGCUGAAAACCUUAAAUGCUCACAUCUGAGGAUGUGUAGUCAAAUCUAGCUUCGAUGCAACUUUUAUUAACCAGAUGGUAACAUCUUAUUUACACUUCCCAUAUAAAACCAUCUGUGCUUCUGCUGGGGAGAUGCUGUCUCUUGCUACACUUGGGAGUUUGGCUGCAGGGGGUGUAGCAUUGCUUUUGUUAGCAUCCGGUCUCCCUCUCUCAUCAGAGCUGAAUAUGUAACACUGGUUUUAUUUAACCUUGUUUUAAUUAGAGGGUUACAAAGCUGCAGUUGGCUCUUUCUGCACCAGUCGGUUGGCACUCUGGAUCUUGCUGCCUUUAAACAAAACUGAAAUUUCUUGCCUUGUUUUCCCUUGGUAUUGAAACUGCAGUCGGCCUCCUCUGUUUUCAUCCAAUGGCUCCUGCAUCUUGCCUUCUCCACCACUAAAUCCUCCUCUUCCUCGGUAUGAAAUUCUAGCUCUGCUUGACAUCAGCCUCACUAAGGUCAGGCCUUCUGCCUGGGUGUUUGUUUUCUUUAAGCACUCAUAGCUUGUUGCUGUGCCCAACAUUUCCUUGAGCCAAGUUCAACACCUCCAUCUCCACCAUCUCUGUUGCUUUUCUAUGAACUCCCUUGAAAUCAUAGCGUUGGGUGCCCAGAAAGGUCUGUGCUAUUUCAGGUGUUGUCUAACCAGUAACCUCAUGGAGAAACUAUUUUGCUCUCAGCUUUGCCAGUUGGUUGUGUUGUUUAUUUUUCUUGUUUCACUGACAGAUCGAGUUGCAUUUCAUGUCAUUAAUAAAGAUGUAAAAGAAUAUCAAACCUAACAGUGACCUCCGAAUGGAAUCCACCAGCUCUGCCAGCAGUGCACUCUCUUGGUUGCCUUCUUGCUUUUCUCCCAUCUAGCUCUUUGCCUUCAUGGACUAUUCCCAUCCAAGCCAAUUUGAGUUAAUCUUAUGUGAUGGGAAGAGACACUAUGCUAAAGGCUUCAUCACAGUAACAAUCAGAUACAUGUGGAAACCAGAUGUUGUCUUCUAUGAACAUUUGCAUAAUUUGGAAAGGAAUUUGAAAGGAAAUUUGUUUCUCUUCUGUGUCAAACCAGACUGAGAUUUGCUACAAAGUGAGAUUUUUUUCAGUGAGAAAAAACACUCGGUGAUAAAAAUUGGCUGAAUGACAUUUUUAUGUUAAUUUAAAUUAUUUAAGCUUAUGCAAAACUGAAAUGGAAAAGACAAAAUACUCCAAUAAAAUCAAAAUACUCCAAAAAUGCUGAUAAAAUCCAGCUGUGCUGACACAAUGCAAGGUACCUCCACAGAACAGCAUUUCCCAGCAUAAAACUUUCUGAUGAGAGCAGUAUUGACUUGUAUCAAUAGCCUCUGAUAUGUAACCCCCAACCCAAGGAGAACUCUCAUUUCCUGGAAGAGAUGUCUUUGCAGAGGUGCGUGUCUUUUCUCAUCUCAAGUAUUUAGUUCUUUUCAAAUCUGCUACAGACAAUGAGAUUAUCUUCAGGAAGGAGGGGGUACAAACCAGCCUACAGCUGCCCUGGGCUCAGCAGGAGCAUCCUUGCUCGGGGCUUUCCCAUCUAACAGAUCUUAUUUGUAUUUCAGGCUAACUCAGGGUUCUCUGUGGCUUGCCUGAAGAAGACUGUGUUGGGAAUAUCAGUCAGGGUCAAAGCAGCCCAUUUGCUUUGGCAAGCAUGGUGUGAGUGUAGUUAGCUGAGUGGCUGACCACUGCCUUCACUCUGUGUAUGGACAGUCCUGGCCAUUUAUCUUGGGUGAUGGCCAGCAGUUCCUGCUAGCCUCAUGUUACAGGGCUGUGUUUGAACUCAUCUCCAUCGUCCCAGGCAUCCACAUGUGUGACACACACACAUGCACCAUGCCACAGAUGCUGUAGAUUGGCUGCAGCUGAGAUAAAUAUUAUUCCUAUAUCAUGAUGAGGAUGAAAAUGUCCUUUUGGAGGGUUUGGAAGAGGAGGCUCGGUUUGUUGUGGUCUGCCCUUGGGCUCCUUUUGACUUUUUCUUUCCUGAAAACAGGAGAAAACCCAGCCUGCGAACGAAGGGGAUUUCGGUUCUCACUCAGACCUUGAUCAGGAAAACAGAGCACAUUGUUUGUGAUGGCAGCCUCCACCAAAACAGCUCAGGGGCCAAGUUAAGGCUAAGGAAGAAAUUCAGCCUUCCCAGCAAUGAGAGAUCUGCGUGCUUUCUUCCCUUGCUUCCACUGGUUUCUGUGCAUGCAGUGCUCUGCUUGCUGUGGCCACAUCAUCUGCAAGGUCCCAUUCCCCUUUCUAUCCCAAAGGGGUUGGUGGCACAGCCUCUAAUCCUCAAAAUGAACAUCUUAGGGGCUGGAAGACUGAAAAUCCCUUCCCUGAACUGUGAGGGAAUCCUGCCUUGCUGGGGAGUUGUUCACAGGCAAAGCGGUUUUUACUGCGUCCAUCAGAUGACUUUGGAAAUCAGAUGCAGGAAACAGAUUCAAUGGCUGAUGAUUUGUUUUCCAUCUAUUUAACCUUCGUCAGCAGAUAAACUACCAGGAGUGACAGGACCUGGAUGCGGAGUCCUUACGCACUUAAGCACAUGUGUAAACCUGACUUCUGUUCGAUCUAAGCCUCUGUCUCACAUAAAUGCAGAAUCGGGUGCAAAGCAUCCCUUGCCUGGAGCAUGGACCGCUGGAUGGGUGCAUCUUGGCUGAGCCAUGGUGAGCAGAGGUCCAUGGAGUGGUGCCCAGCAGUGCAGCGCAGGCAGCAAGGCACGAGCUCUGCAUAACCACAGCAGGUGAGUGUGACGUCUUUUGGACUCGAGGUUAAGGCUGCAUCUGCUCAUCGGAAACAGAUUUAAGGAGCAGAUGAAGGAUGCAGAGGGAUAGCAGGAAUAUCAGAUCUGUUUGCUCAGGGAAGGGUCAUUUUCCAUAACACCUCCUUCUUAUUGUCCUCCCCUCAGCAUGGAGUCCUUCUACAACCUUAUUUUUUUGGGUUGCCAAAAAAACCCAGAGGGAGUCACUCUUUUAUGAGCCAUCCCUUCCUCCCUUUUAUGCUGUUAGGAAUUUCCCCAUGUGUGAGUGUCUCACAAAUUCCUUUUCAUUAUGUUGCAUCCAAGCGAAAGUAAUACAUCCCAGUAAGUGAAAGUAAUACAUCCCAUUUGGCUUCUCUAACACUAGCAGAUGGAGUUCAUAGUCUCCUCUUUUUUAGGGUCUCCAAUACAUCAGCCCCAUCACCUGCAGAAGAAGAAUGAUCUCUGGUGAGAACCAGUUAUCACCGCAGCCCUUUCUGGCUGGAAGGAAAGGUUUACCUUGAAUCCCACUUAGGCGUGGAGUUUCAGUUAGGAAACAGCGGUUACAUCUGCUGAGCACACACAUGACAAUGUGGGUGAUGUGUUACUGCACUGUCCUCAUGGCUGGGGCAGCAGAGAUGUGGGACUAUGGGUGAGAUAAGGGGUCAGCACAGCAAUGACUUGGAACUAUAAUCCUGGCAUCUCAGCCCUGUGUUGCUGCUGCAUCUGCGGUUGCAGUAAACACAGAGCUGAGGCAAACAAGAAGUGGUUGAAUGCUUUCCAAGGGAGUGAUUUUCUUUUCUCCUGUGGUAAACUCCCCUCAUUCAAAAUGAAAACUUUCCAGGAGACAAAAAUCAGCUGACAAAGAUUUUAGUUGAGUUUUUCGUUUGUUUGUUUCCAAAUGUCUUUUUAAUGAGUCAAGAGCCAUGUCAGAUCGUGUAAAAUUCAGAAUGAAAGCAAGAUGUGUCCAUGUUGCCAUUCAAACAGAGCUGGAAGGAAGAUUAUGCAGCCCGUUCCCCUGCUCCUGCAUGGGACUGAAUAUUCUCAGGGGGCGGAUAAAAUGCCAAGGAAUGUUGAUGUUCCUUUUGCUUUGCUUUCAUUCCCUUCCCCAGGCUGCACUCUCCCUUUCCACAUCAGUUAAGUGCACGUUAAAUGCCCUCUGCUAGCCCUGGGUUGUAGCUGGCCUGAAUGAGAAGUGCUCCAUU